CAAGUCGAGGGGCAGCGAAGAGGUAGCAAUACCUCUGUCGGCGACCGGCGCACGGGUGAGUAACACGUAUGCAAUCCACCUGUAACAGGGGGAUAACCCGGAGAAAUCCGGACUAAUACCCCAUAAUAUGGGCGCUCCGCAUGGAGAGUCCAUUAAAGAGAGCAAUUUUGGUUACAGACGAGCAUGCGCUCCAUUAGCCAGUUGGCGGGGUAACGGCCCACCAAAGCGACGAUGGAUAGGGGUUCUGAGAGGAAGGUCCCCCACAUUGGAACUGAGACACGGUCCAAACUCCUACGGGAGGCAGCAGUGAGGAAUAUUGGUCAAUGGUCGGCAGACUGAACCAGCCAAGUCGCGUGAGGGAAGACGGCCCUACGGGUUGUAAACCUCUUUUGUCGGAGAGUAAAGUACGCUACGUGUAGCGUAUUGCAAGUAUCCGAAGAAAAAGCAUCGGCUAACUCCGUGCCAGCAGCCGCGGUAAUACGGAGGAUGCGAGCGUUAUCCGGAUUUAUUGGGUUUAAAGGGUGCGUAGGCGGCACGCCAAGUCAGCGGUGAAAUUUUCGGGCUCAACCCGGACUGUGCCGUUGAAACUGGCGAGCUAGAGUGCACAAGAGGCAGGCGGAAUGCGUGGUGUAGCGGUGAAAUGCAUAGAUAUCACGCAGAACCCCGAUUGCGAAGGCAGCCUGCUAGGGUGCGACAGACGCUGAGGCACGAAAGCGUGGGUAUCGAACAGGAUUAGAUACCCUGGUAGUCCACGCAGUAAACGAUGAAUACUAACUGUUUGCGAUACAAUGUAAGCGGUACAGCGAAAGCGUUAAGUAUUCCACCUGGGGAGUACGCCGGCACGGUGAAACUCAAAGGAAUUGACGGGGGCCCGCACAAGCGGAGGAACAUGUGGUUUAAUUCGAUGAUACGCGAGGAA
This 919-nucleotide ribosomal RNA is filed under the name uncultured bacterium. RNAcentral describes it as "bacterial SSU rRNA". It matches the Rfam family "Bacterial small subunit ribosomal RNA", at positions 58 to 968 of the family's 1533-position model. The record is from RNAcentral.